AGUGAACGCUGGCGGUAGGCCUAACACAUGCAAGUCGAACGGCAGCACAGUAAGAGCUUGCUCUUACGGGUGGCGAGUGGCGGACGGGUGAGGAAUACAUCGGAAUCUACUUUUUCGUGGGGGAUAACGUAGGGAAACUUACGCUAAUACCGCAUACGACCUACGGGUGAAAGCAGGGGAUCUUCGGACCUUGCGCGAUUGAAUGAGCCGAUGUCGGAUUAGCUAGUUGGCGGGGUAAAGGCCCACCAAGGCGACGAUCCGUAGCUGGUCUGAGAGGAUGAACCGGCAACCUUGGAAUGAGGCACGGUCCCAGAUUCUAAGGGAGGGAGCAGGGGGGAAUAUUGGACAAUGGGCGCAAGCCUGAUCCAGCCAUACCGCGUGGGUGAAGAAGGCCUUCGGGUUGUAAAGCCCUUUUGUUGGGAAAGAAAAGCAGCAGGUUAAUACCCCGCUGUUCUGACGGUACCCAAAGAAUAAGCACCGGCUAACUUCGUG
This 492-nucleotide ribosomal RNA is filed under the name uncultured bacterium. RNAcentral describes it as "partial 16S ribosomal RNA". It matches the Rfam family "Bacterial small subunit ribosomal RNA", at positions 29 to 507 of the family's 1533-position model. The record is from RNAcentral.